Molecule: ribosomal RNA, 369 nt
Filed under: Bacillus velezensis
Lineage: Bacteria; Bacillati; Bacillota; Bacilli; Caryophanales; Bacillaceae
Description: bacterial LSU rRNA
Rfam family: Bacterial large subunit ribosomal RNA
Source: RNAcentral
ACACAGGUCUCUGCGAAGCCGUAAGGCGAAGUAUAGGGGCUGACGCCUGCCCGGUGCUGGAAGGUUAAGAGGAGCGCUUAGCGUAAGCGAAGGUGCGAAUUGAAGCCCCAGUAAACGGCGGCCGUAACUAUAACGGUCCUAAGGUAGCGAAAUUCCUUGUCGGGUAAGUUCCGACCCGCACGAAAGGCGCAACGAUCUGGGCACUGUCUCAACGAGAGACUCGGUGAAAUUAUAGUACCUGUGAAGAUGCAGGUUACCCGCGACAGGACGGAAAGACCCCGUGGAGCUUUACUGCAGCCUGAUAUUGAAUGUUGGUACAGCUUGUACAGGAUAGGUAGGAACCUUGGAAACCGGAGCGCCAGCUUCGGU